This 253-nucleotide ribosomal RNA is filed under the name uncultured bacterium. Its description in RNAcentral is "partial 16S ribosomal RNA". It matches the Rfam family "Bacterial small subunit ribosomal RNA", at positions 524 to 776 of the family's 1533-position model. The record is from RNAcentral.
UACGGAGGGUGCAAGCGUUAUCCGGAUUCACUGGGUUUAAAGGGUGCGUAGGCGGAUUGGUAAGUCCGUGGUGAAAUCUCUAAGCUUAACUUGGAAACUGCCAUGGAUACUAUUAGUCUUGAAUAUUGUGGAGGUUAGCGGAAUAUGUCAUGUAGCGGUGAAAUGCAUAGAUAUGACAUAGAACACCAAUUGCGAAGGCAGCUGGCUACGCAUAUAUUGACACUGAGGCUCGAAAGCGUGGGGAUCAAACAGG